RNAcentral lists this ribosomal RNA (301 nucleotides) under Clostridioides difficile. Its description in RNAcentral is "partial 16S ribosomal RNA". It matches the Rfam family "Bacterial small subunit ribosomal RNA", at positions 1 to 310 of the family's 1533-position model. Lineage: Bacteria; Bacillati; Bacillota; Clostridia; Peptostreptococcales; Peptostreptococcaceae. The record is from RNAcentral.
UUUAUUUGAGAGUUUGAUCCUGGCUCAGGAUGAACGCUGGCGGCGUGCCUAACACAUGCAAGUUGAGCGAUUUACUUCGGUAAAGAGCGGCGGACGGGUGAGUAACGCGUGGGUAACCUACCCUGUACACACGGAUAACAUACCGAAAGGUAUGCUAAUACGGGAUAAUAUAUUUGAGAGGCAUCUCUUGAAUAUCAAAGGUGAGCCAGUACAGGAUGGACCCGCGUCUGAUUAGCUAGUUGGUAAGGUAACGGCUUACCAAGGCGACGAUCAGUAGCCGACCUGAGAGGGUGAUCGGCCA